Molecule: ribosomal RNA, 502 nt
Filed under: uncultured bacterium
Lineage: Bacteria
Description: bacterial SSU rRNA
Rfam family: Bacterial small subunit ribosomal RNA
Source: RNAcentral
AGCGAACGUUUGCGGCGGGCUUAACACAUGCAAGUCGAACGAGAAUCCCUUCGGGGAGGAAAGUGGCGCACGGGUGCGUAACACGUGGAUAACCAACCCAUUGGUUUGGGACAACACCGGGAAACUGGUGCUAAUACCAGAUGUGUCGCAGCUGUCUUCAGGCGGUUGCGAGAAAGGCCCGCAAGGGUCGCCAACGGACGGGUCCGCGUCCCAUCAGCUAGUUGGUGAGGUAAUGGCUCACCAAGGCAAAGACGGGUAGCUGGUCUGAGAGGAUGAUCAGCCACACUGGAACUGAGACACGGUCCAGACUCCUACGGGAGGCAGCAGUGGGGAAUAUUGCGCAAUGGGCGAAAGCCUGACGCAGCCACGCCGCGUGAGCGAUGAAGGUCUUCGGAUCGUAAAGCUCUGUGGGGGAGAAGAAGAAAGACCGGUGAAGAGCCGGCCCUGACGGUAUCCCUUACGCAAGCACCGGCUAACUCCGUGCCAGCAGCCGCGGUAAAGU